Molecule: small nucleolar RNA, 96 nt
Organism: Nomascus leucogenys (northern white-cheeked gibbon)
Lineage: Eukaryota; Metazoa; Chordata; Mammalia; Primates; Hylobatidae
Rfam family: Small nucleolar RNA U13
Source: Rfam
AUCCUUUUGCGGCUGAUAUGUGUGAUGAGGGGGUUUUCACACUCUUGCAUGGGACGUGAAACAUCUUUAGAACAGUGGCACAUUACCUGUCUUACA